RNAcentral lists this long non-coding RNA (1452 nucleotides) under Carica papaya (papaya). RNAcentral describes it as "long non-coding RNA (CPAP_LNC011836)". Lineage: Eukaryota; Viridiplantae; Streptophyta; Magnoliopsida; Brassicales; Caricaceae. The record is from RNAcentral.
GGGUAUAAAGAGAGGUCGGGAAAGGGAGAAGAGGAAGAAAAAAAAAAGAGAAAAGGAGAGAAAGAAGAGAGCGGGAAGGAGGAAAAGAAGAAGGGAAGGAAGGUUCCAGAAGGAGAGAGAAGAGAGUCGGAGCGGAGGGGAGCGAGAAGGGAGAGGGAAGAAGGCCGUGGACGGACGACGAUACCGGCAGAAGGAAGGAAGAUGGAAACGGGAGGUACGGUGAAAAUUUUAGUUGCUUUGGUGUGGUGUGAGUUGUGAACUUUUUGCAGGUUGCGGAGUCUGUAGGUGGUGUGACAGAGCUGAGAGGUGGAGGUAGGCUACCAGUGUGGGAUUAUUCCACACGUUAGCGGAGGAAGCCGGGGGAAGCGAGAGGAUGGCGAUGUUUGGGGCGUACGGGGAACCAUAGGGAAAAAUGGAGGUUGUGCGAGUAGCACAGAGGGAGGACCAAUGGGAGGAAAAGUGAGUGAGAAAUUUAGUGAGUGCGGGGGGGGGGGGGGGGGCAGAAAGAGGUGUGUGCGUGGGUGGAGGCGCGAAGGGAGUCGCGAGCGGAAGGCGACGUAUUCAGUGAGCGUACAGUGGAAGGGGUGAGUGUACGGAUUGAGACGGAGUGAGUCGAGAGAUUUCUAACUGCCCUAGGGAGGCAAAAGUAUAAAGGAAGCGGGAGGAGGCAGAAGGAUAGGGGAAGUGGAGCGUGAGGGCGGUGGGUGAGAGAAGAGUACUGGAUUGUUCGGUGGAGAGGACUACGAUAUAGGAAUCGGGGAGUGAUGAGGUUCGGAUGAGGGAGGAGGUGUAACAUAACAGUAGAGGGAGGUAAGUUGCAGGGGGCGGAGAGUGUAGUUGCUUGGAAUUAGAAUGGCGCAAGAGUAGAUGGUAACGUGUGGUUUAGGAUGGGAGAGUAGGGGCAUGUUGGUGAGGUGUAGUGUGAGUCGCCGAUGUUGGUGAUGUGAGAUGGUGGUACUUGUGUGAGUGCGUGGCCUGAUGAGGUCAAUAGGUGGAGGAGAGAGUAUGAGUCGCCGAUGUUAGUGACGUGAGAUGAUGAUACUUGUGUGUGUGCUGGCCUAAUGAGGUCGAGAGGUGGAGGAGUGAGUAUGAGUCGCCGAUGUUGAUGACGUGAGAUGAUGGUACUUGUGUGUGUGCGUGGCCUAAUGAGGUCGAGAAGUGGAGGAGUGAGUAUGAGUCGCUGAUGUUGGUGACGUGAGAUGAUGGUACUUGUGUGUAUGCGUGGCCUACUUAGGUCGAGAGGUGGAGGAGAGAAUAUGGGUCACCGAUCUUGGUGACGUGAAAUGAAGGUACUUGUGUGUGUGCAUGGCCUCAUGAGGUCGAGCGGUGGAGGAGAGAGUAUGAUUCGCCGAUGUUGGUGACGUGAACUAAUGAUACUUGUGUGUGUGGGUGGCCUAGUAAGGUUGUGAAGUAGCAUGGUGAGUGGGGGUAGCCGAUGUUGAUGAUGUGAGG